This 822-nucleotide long non-coding RNA is filed under the name Sinocyclocheilus grahami. RNAcentral describes it as "lncRNA (ENSSGRG00000023255.1)". The record is from RNAcentral. Lineage: Eukaryota; Metazoa; Chordata; Actinopteri; Cypriniformes; Cyprinidae.
CGCAAGAGGAGCAUGUAACUCAGUCUCUAAUGAGAUUAAACAGGAUUAUGUCUCUGGACUCUCGAUGCGUCUGCAGCAGGCUUGGUAGCAACAAGUUGGUCUGUGAACAUGCCAUCGUAUAACCAAAUGAAGAGAAACAAACCAACAAGUUAAUUCCUAGCCACUGAAGUUCAGCAGGGAUCUGUAUUCGGCUAUUGAAGCAUUCAACACGGCAUUGUCUCAAAGCCACAGCGAAUGGCACUCUGGUGGGAAUAGAGCACCAUGUGAAAUCUUCAUAAAAUGGCUACUUAUGUACUGUGGUCAGCAGUUGUCUGGACUCUCAAGGGCCUGUUGUGCACAUGGAGGUUUUUCUGGGUCAGCCCAUAUUGUGCUCUAAAAUCUGCACCAUUAACACAGCAUGCAGCUGACACUGACCAUACAUUACCAUCCAAACUGUCCCCAGCUGUCCAGGAUGUCAAGCAUCUGGCAAGGACAGAUGUAAAUGCAGACUCAGAGAAGAAGGUCAAACCAGAAAACUGUGUUCAGCCUGAACGCACAAGUGGCCUGUUCAAGAGACUGCUAAAGGCUGAGGGGGAGAUUCAAGAACUGAAGAUAGAGAUUGAAAAUCAGAGAGCAGCAUGGGAGAUGCGGUUUGUGGAGCUGCAAAAGAGACAACAUAAUCUAAGAGACCAGCUGACCUCUGAGAUUCUGGUAAGGACUGGAACACUGUACAGAGACACUGAUUCAGAAGAAGCAAAUGAAGUCUUUCUAGAGUCUGGCUUGGAGAAUGGACUUAAUCCUGAGGAGAAGGAGCAUGAAUGUUCUAGUAAGAGCUUCCUUUAG